Molecule: ribosomal RNA, 476 nt
Filed under: Aphanizomenon flos-aquae MDT14a
Lineage: Bacteria; Bacillati; Cyanobacteriota; Cyanophyceae; Nostocales; Aphanizomenonaceae
Description: bacterial SSU rRNA
Rfam family: Bacterial small subunit ribosomal RNA
Source: RNAcentral
AGGCGUAGCUCGUAUCGACCCGAGCUGUGCCGGAGCUAACGCGUUAAGUAUCCCGCCUGGGGAGUACGCAGGCAACUGUGAAACUCAAAGGAAUUGACGGGGGCCCGCACAAGCGGUGGAGUAUGUGGUUUAAUUCGAUGCAACCCGAAGAACCUUACCAAGGCUUGACAUGUCACGAAUCCUGUGGAAACAUAGGAGUGCCUUAGGGAGCGUGAACACAGGUGGUGCAUGGCUGUCGUCAGCUCGUGCCGUGAGAUGUUGGGUUAAGUCCCGCAACGAGCGCAACCCUCGUUUUUAGUUGCCAGCAUUAAGAUGGGCACUCUAGAGAGACUGCCGGUGACAAACCGGAGGAAGGUGGGGAUGACGUCAAGUCAGCAUGCCCCUUACGUCUUGGGCUACACACGUACUACAAUGCUCCGGACAAAGGGCAGCUACACAGCGAUGUGAUGCGAAUCUCAUAAACCGGAGCUCAGUUC